AUGGCCAAGCGAUGGUGGUGGCUGACGAUGGCCAAGUAUUUUACUAUGAUGUUGGAUGGAACGGCUCGGACCUUGUUGAAGGGAUUGCCACCCAAUUCUAUCGGCUCAUGGGCAGAGUUGAAAGCACGGUUCAUCCAGAACUUUAAGGACACGUGUAAGCAGCCAAUGUCGAUUGUGGACCUGACCAAUUGCAAGCAAGAGGAUGGUGAAUCUACAACCCAUUGGAUACGCCGGGUCAAGGAGAUAAUACAUUCAUCUGAUAAGAUGGAUGCCGGCUCAACAGUUUUGAUGUUGGAGAAAAAUUGUCGCUUUGAACCUCUGAAGCAGAAGUUGGGGCGGCUUAAACAUGACUAUAAUGACAUGGGAACGUUGAUGGCAGCUCUUGUCAAGUAUGUCGAUUCUGAUACCACCAAGGACCCGGUUUCUGACGAAGAAAAGGCAACGAAGGGAAAGAAGAACGGCAAUGGCAAGGGUCAUCAGCAUAACCCGGUGAAUCAGGGAGGUAAUAAACGUAAGGCUGAUGAGUUUGUUGCUAAUACUAAUGCGCAUGGUGGUAAUCAGUGGCGCAAGGGCAGACAACCCCCUCGAUCGGGCGGGUCAGGCCCCACCCUUGAGUAG
This 618-nucleotide ribosomal RNA is filed under the name Triticum aestivum (bread wheat). RNAcentral's name for it is "partial small subunit ribosomal RNA". The record is from RNAcentral. Lineage: Eukaryota; Viridiplantae; Streptophyta; Magnoliopsida; Poales; Poaceae.